RNAcentral lists this ribosomal RNA (306 nucleotides) under uncultured bacterium. RNAcentral's name for it is "bacterial SSU rRNA". It matches the Rfam family "Bacterial small subunit ribosomal RNA", at positions 28 to 329 of the family's 1533-position model. The record is from RNAcentral.
GACGAACGCUGGCGGCGUGCCUAACACAUGCAAGUCGAGCGAGUGGAUCUCCUUCGGGAGUGAAGCUAGCGGCGGACGGGAGAGUAACACGUGGGCAACCUGCCUCAUAGAGGGGAAUAGCCUUUCGAAAGGAAGAUUAAUACCGCAUAAGAUUGUAGCUUCGCAUGAAGUAGCAAUUAAAGGAGCAAUCCGCUAUGAGAUGGGCCCGCGGCGCAUUAGCUAGUUGGUGAGGUAACGGCUCGACCAAGGCGACGAUGCGUAGCCGACCUGAGAGGGUGAUCGGCCGACAUUGGGACUGAGACACGG